AACGAACGCUGGCGGCAUGCCUAACACAUGCAAGUCGAACGAAGCCUUCGGGCUUAGUGGCUCACGGGUGCGUAACGCGAGGGAAUCUGCCCCUUGCUUCGGAAUAACAGUUAGAAAUGACUGCUAAUACCGGAUGAAGUCUUCUGACCAAAGAUUUAUCGGCAAGGGAUGAGCCCGCGUAGGAUUAGGUAGUUGGUGGGGUAAAGGCCUACCAAGCCGACGAUCCUUAGCUGGUCUGAGAGGAUGAUCAGCCACACUGGGACUGAGACACGGCCCAGACUCCUACGGGAGGCAGCAGUGGGGAAUAUUGGACAAUGGACGCAAGUCUGAUCCAGCAAUGCCGCGUGAGUGAUGAAGGCCUUAGGGUUGUAAAGCUCCUUUACCAGGGAUGAUAAUGACAGUACCUGGAGAAUAAGCUCCGGCUAACUCCGUG
RNAcentral lists this ribosomal RNA (433 nucleotides) under uncultured bacterium. Its description in RNAcentral is "partial 16S ribosomal RNA". It matches the Rfam family "Bacterial small subunit ribosomal RNA", at positions 29 to 507 of the family's 1533-position model. The record is from RNAcentral.